CAAUCAGUCUCAAGGGGUCUGGGUGCACACCAAAUGGCUGUAGAAGCUAAAAUGCCUGUUUCCACACAGCCAGGAUUCAAAGACACACGAUCUUUCACACCCACACCUUCACAGGACUAUCUAAGAGGUAGGGGACAGAACACUCCAUUACUGGAAAGGAUACUAAUGGGGUUCAAAUGAUGCACAGAAAAGCUUCUGCAUGGACAAUACUUACAAAUAUAUGCUAAAUUGUUGCUCUCUUCCUCCUCAGGGAAAAAAUCAGAGUACCAGGCUAGGUAGCUCUGUAGAGUAAACUGUAAAUUCUAUAGCACACUAAAUCCAAAUAUAUGUAUCACUGAUUUGCUCAUUUAUAUACAUGGCAGGAAUCAUUAUGUAUAGGGUAUGAAAGGGGUAUCAUUUACAGUCGACUGGGGCAACCUCUGUGGUCUGGAAUUGUCACUAGGUUUUCCCUCAAUCUAGUUACUUAGAUGAAAUGGAAGAUGUAGAUGUUCACUCUAGCUUUCCCAAAUAUACACUGAUGUUCCAUAGGGAACAGCUAAAACUGAAAGAGUCCCUGCGUUCAAUGUCUUUUCUUUUUUCAGUCUGUGAUGAGAGUGAAAGUCUUUGAUGUGAAGUCCGGUAUGUAUACAGGAAGGUGAAUUUCUUAUAGACAUUAUGGGUUGGUUUAGGCUCUCUUUGUGAUUUAUUAAGGGUCUGGUUCUGGGAAGAAGGUUUGGCUUUGCUCUUCUUUUCUUCAGCCUGGUUACUCAACCAGUGUGAGAAUUCUGGUGUCUGGCAAGGGAGAGGCGGUCGUUGAAGAGUUGCCCGCACACAUCACAUUUGAAGUACUUGUCGUCUGCCUGCUCCGCACCACCUGCACUGGUGC
Molecule: non-coding RNA, 865 nt
Organism: Mus musculus (house mouse)
Lineage: Eukaryota; Metazoa; Chordata; Mammalia; Rodentia; Muridae
Gene: Peg3os
Product: Peg3 opposite strand
Exons: 1
Source: RefSeq, marked provisional